AAGCGGAGGAAAAGAAACCAACAGGGAUUGCCCCAGUAACGGCGAGUGAAGCGGCAAGAGCUCAAAUUUGAAAGCUGGCUCCUUCGGGGUCCGCAUUGUAAUUUGCAGAGGAUGCUUCGGGAGCGGUCCCCAUCUAAGUGCCCUGGAACGGGACGUCAUAGAGGGUGAGAAUCCCGUAUGGGAUGGGGUGUCCGCGCCCGUGUGAAGCUCCUUCGACGAGUCGAGUUGUUUGGGAAUGCAGCUCUAAAUGGGUGGUAAAUUUCAUCUAAAGCUAAAUAUUGGCCGGAGACCGAUAGCGCACAAGUAGAGUGAUCGAAAGAUGAAAAGCACUUUGAAAAGAGAGUUAAAAAGCACGUGAAAUUGUUGAAAGGGAAGCGCUUGCGACCAGACUCGCUCGCGGGGUUCAGCCGGCAUUCGUGCCGGUGUACUUCCCCGCGGGCGGGCCAGCGUCGGUUUGGGCGGUCGGUCAAAGGCCCUCGGAAGGUAACGCCCCUAGGGGCGUCUUAUAGCCGAGGGUGCAAUGCGACCUGCCUAGACCGAGGAACGCGCUCGGCUCGACGC
This 561-nucleotide ribosomal RNA is filed under the name Penicillium sp. RNAcentral's name for it is "partial large subunit ribosomal RNA". It matches the Rfam family "Eukaryotic large subunit ribosomal RNA", at positions 48 to 626 of the family's 3401-position model. Lineage: Eukaryota; Fungi; Ascomycota; Eurotiomycetes; Eurotiales; Aspergillaceae. The record is from RNAcentral.